GGCCAUAUAGUGUAGUGGUCAUCACUCGGGAUUUUGAUUCCCGCAACCCAGGUUCGAACCCUGGUAUGGCCU
This 72-nucleotide transfer RNA is filed under the name Fomitiporia mediterranea MF3/22. RNAcentral describes it as "tRNA-Gln (TTG) (tRNA-Gln-TTG-1-1)". It matches the Rfam family "tRNA". Rfam says of the family: Transfer RNA (tRNA) molecules are approximately 80 nucleotides in length. Their secondary structure includes four short double-helical elements and three loops (D, anti-codon, and T loops). The record is from RNAcentral. Lineage: Eukaryota; Fungi; Basidiomycota; Agaricomycetes; Hymenochaetales; Hymenochaetaceae.